Molecule: unclassified non-coding RNA, 246 nt
Filed under: Hevea brasiliensis (rubber tree)
Lineage: Eukaryota; Viridiplantae; Streptophyta; Magnoliopsida; Malpighiales; Euphorbiaceae
Source: RNAcentral
AAGCGGACACAACCCAAAUCUCAACAUUAAACCUUAACAAUCUUCCACACUCCCCAGAGAUAAGAGAAAAUAUUGACAUUUUGGAACAUGCGUAUUCGGUGCAAAAUUCUCGAUUUUGCACAGGAAAAAUACAGAACAAAUGUUUCACACCCUAAAAAAAAUGAAAAAGAAAAGAUUUCCCAACAUUCAAGAGGACCACUCUGUAAUAUGGAAGCACAACAGGUACAUAAACUUUCAUUCUAAGGG